Molecule: ribosomal RNA, 661 nt
Filed under: Clostridium sartagoforme
Lineage: Bacteria; Bacillati; Bacillota; Clostridia; Eubacteriales; Clostridiaceae
Description: bacterial SSU rRNA
Rfam family: Bacterial small subunit ribosomal RNA
Source: RNAcentral
UCCCUUCGGGGAUGAACCUAGCGGCGGACGGGUGAGUAACACGUGGGCAACCUGCCUUAUAGAGGGGAAUAGCCUUCCGAAAGGAAGAUUAAUACCGCAUAACAUUACAUUUUCGCAUGAAGAAGUAAUUAAAGGAGUAAUCCGCUAUAAGAUGGGCCCGCGGCGCAUUAGCUAGUUGGUGAGGUAACGGCUCACCAAGGCGACGAUGCGUAGCCGACCUGAGAGGGUGAUCGGCCACAUUGGGACUGAGACACGGCCCAGACUCCUACGGGAGGCAGCAGUGGGGAAUAUUGCACAAUGGGGGAAACCCUGAUGCAGCAACGCCGCGUGAGUGAUGAAGGUCUUCGGAUCGUAAAGCUCUGUCUUCAGGGACGAUAAUGACGGUACCUGAGGAGGAAGCCACGGCUAACUACGUGCCAGCAGCCGCGGUAAUACGUAGGUGGCGAGCGUUGUCCGGAUUUACUGGGCGUAAAGGGAGCGUAGGCGGAUUUUUAAGUGAGAUGUGAAAUACCCGGGCUCAACUUGGGUGCUGCAUUUCAAACUGGAAGUCUAGAGUGCAGGAGAGGAGAGUGGAAUUCCUAGUGUAGCGGUGAAAUGCGUAGAGAUUAGGAAGAACACCAGUGGCGAAGGCGACUCUCUGGACUGUAACUGACGCUGAGGC